Molecule: ribosomal RNA, 259 nt
Filed under: uncultured bacterium
Lineage: Bacteria
Description: partial 16S ribosomal RNA
Rfam family: Bacterial small subunit ribosomal RNA
Source: RNAcentral
UACGGGGGGGGUAAGCGUUGUUCGGAAUUACUGGGCGUAAAGGGUGUGUAGGCGGUUCCCUAAGUUUGGUGUGAAAUCUCCCGGCUCAACCGGGAGGGUGCGCCGAAAACUGGGGGGACUAGAGUGCGGGAUGGGAGAGUAGAAUUCCUGGUGUAGCGGUGAAAUGCGUAGAUAUCUGGAGGAACACCGGUGGCGAAGGCGACAUCCUGGACCAACACUGACGCUGAGGAGCGAAAAGCCAGGGGGAGCAAACAGGGAU